This is a long non-coding RNA of Trichomycterus rosablanca, 648 nucleotides long. RefSeq lists it as uncharacterized. NCBI's taxonomy places the organism in Eukaryota, Metazoa, Chordata, Actinopteri, Siluriformes, Trichomycteridae. The record is from RefSeq and is a predicted model, not a curated record. The transcript has 3 exons.
CUGUAAGCAACCUGGAGAUGCUGGUGCUGGAUAAUAAUCUUCUCCCCACAUUAAGCUCAUCCAUGUUGGAAGGGCUGUCCAGUCUGCAGGAGCUUUAUGUAAGGAAAAACCUGAUAAGUGGGCUGCCAGCUGAUUUGUUCCGUUAUACACCAAAACUCACCCGGGUGGCCCUGAGCGGGAAUCAACUUCACACAAUUGAUGGGAAUAUGCUGGCCAACAUACAAGGUCUGAUGGAUGUAUAUCUACAUGACAACCCAUGGAAAUGUGACUGCAAUAUUAACUCUUUGAUGCAGUACAUAGCCCAAACCGAAAUAAACCCAGCUCCUCUGAAAAAGCUCUGGUGUGUAAGUCCACAGGAACAACGAGGCAAACUCAUUCACAAGCUCAACUCUGAGAGCCUUCUCUGUGGAGCCUAGCUUGUUUGGAAGCUGGGGUCAGAGCGCAGGGUCAGCCAUCGUACGGUGCCCCUGGAGCAGACAGGGUUAAGGGCCAUGCUCAAGGACCCAACAGUGGCUGCAUAGCAGAGCCUGGAUUUGAACCGCCAAUCUUCCGGUUGAUAGCCCAAAGCUCUACCCACCAGGCUACCACUGUCCCUUAGCCACUGUCCCUUUGCUCAGCGUCGGCUUGAGCGGUGCGGUAAAACAUCAU